GGUUGUGGCUCAGUGGUAGAGCGCUUGCCUAGCAUGCAUGAGGCACUGGGUUCAAUCCCUGGCACCA
Molecule: transfer RNA, 67 nt
Filed under: Marmota monax (woodchuck)
Lineage: Eukaryota; Metazoa; Chordata; Mammalia; Rodentia; Sciuridae
Description: tRNA.Ala
Rfam family: tRNA
About the family: Transfer RNA (tRNA) molecules are approximately 80 nucleotides in length. Their secondary structure includes four short double-helical elements and three loops (D, anti-codon, and T loops). Further hydrogen bonds mediate the characteristic L-shaped molecular structure. tRNAs have two regions of fundamental functional importance: the anti-codon, which is responsible for specific mRNA codon recognition, and the 3' end, to which the tRNAs corresponding amino acid is attached (by aminoacyl-tRNA synthetases). tRNAs cope with the degeneracy of the genetic code in two manners: having more than one tRNA (with a specific anti-codon) for a particular amino acid; and 'wobble' base-pairing, i.e. permitting non-standard base-pairing at the 3rd anti-codon position.
Source: RNAcentral